AACCUGCGGAAGGAUCAUUGUCGUGACCCUGACCAAAACAGACCGUGAAUGUGUAAUCCAUUCCGCCGGGUGAUGGGACUUGCACCUAUCUCUCGGUAAAGGACACCAACCUUCUUCUGGAGGGGGUGGCCACAAAAGAACCCACGGCGCGGUAUGGCGUCAAGGAACACUAAUAUUGACUUGCUUGGGGCUGCUACCGGCCUGCCGGAUGCACCUCUUGCAGCGAUGCUAUGAUAAACCACAUGACUCUCGGCAACGGAUAUCUCGGCUCUUGCAUCGAUGAAGAACGUAGCAAAAUGCGAUACCUGGUGUGAAUUGCAGAAUCCCGUGAACCAUCGAGUUUUUGAACGCAAGUUGCGCCCAAGACCUUCUGGUUGAGGGCACGUCUGCCUGGGCGUCACGCCAAAAGACACUCCCACCCUUCGUGGUGAGGAUGUGGUGUCUGGCCCCUCGUGCCGUAGGGUGCGAUGAGCCAAAGUUGGGGCUGCCGGCGGGUGCCGAUCACAGCACAAGGUGGAUGGCYGAAGUCGUUCUCGGUGCUAUGAUCCGCACCGCAACCGGUGAUAAUACAGCCAUUUUUGGACCCAUGGACCGAAGCGUUGGCCGCUCGGACCGCGACCCCAGGUCAGUCGGGAUUACCCGCUGAAUUUAA
This 652-nucleotide ribosomal RNA is filed under the name Aeluropus lagopoides. RNAcentral's name for it is "eukaryotic LSU rRNA". Lineage: Eukaryota; Viridiplantae; Streptophyta; Magnoliopsida; Poales; Poaceae. The record is from RNAcentral.